This 349-nucleotide ribosomal RNA is filed under the name uncultured bacterium. RNAcentral's name for it is "bacterial SSU rRNA". It matches the Rfam family "Bacterial small subunit ribosomal RNA", at positions 8 to 350 of the family's 1533-position model. The record is from RNAcentral.
AGAGUUUGAUCCUGGCUCAGGAUGAACGCUAGCUACAGGCUUAACACAUGCAAGUCGAGGGGCAGCAUGUUGGUUGCUUGCAACCAACGAUGGCGACCGGCGCACGGGUGAGUAACGCGUAUCCAACCUACCCUUGUCCAUCGGAUAACCCGUCGAAAGGCGGCCUAACACGAUAUGCGGUUCACGGCAGGCAUCUAAGGUGAACGAAAUGUGAAGGAGAAGGAUGGGGAUGCGUCUGAUUAGCUUGUUGGCGGGGUAACGGCCACCAAGGCUACGAUCAGUAGGGGUUCUGAGAGGAAGGUCCCCCACAUUGGAACUGAGACACGGUCCAAACGUCCUACGGGGAGCA